Molecule: ribosomal RNA, 426 nt
Filed under: Plentuisa vendia
Lineage: Eukaryota; Metazoa; Mollusca; Gastropoda; Stylommatophora; Geomitridae
Description: partial 16S ribosomal RNA
Rfam family: Archaeal large subunit ribosomal RNA
Source: RNAcentral
CUCUGCUCAAUGGUUUACUAAAUAGCCGCAGUACCCUGACUGUGCAAAGGUAGCAUAAUCAUUUGGCUUAUGAUUGAAGUCUAGUAUGAAAGGGUGCAUGGGUAACUUCUGUCUCUAAUUAAUUCUAUUGAAAUUGCUUAAUAAGUGAAAAUACUUAUAUAUAUACAAUAGACGAGAAGACCCUAGAAAUUUUGUAUAGAUGUAUACUUAUGUACAAUAUAUUUUGUUGGGGCGACAAAGUAACAUUUAACUUACUUUAUUUAUAUGAAUUUACUGAUAUGCAAAAAUAAAUUACUCUAGGGAUAACAGCAUAAUUUAUAAUAGUUUGUGACCUCGAUGUUGGACUAGGGAGCGUAGUAUUUAGAAGAUACUACGCUAUGCUCUGUUCGAGCAACUAAUUCCUACGUGAUCUGAGUUCAGACCGGA